AGCCGUAGGUUGAUAUUUAUAGGUUCAUUUUUCGUAUCAAAGGAGACGCUUUUAAAGGGUAGCCUAUUUGUUAAGUUUAGGGUGCAUUUUAAAAGUGAUGCCUAAUGUAUCUAGAGCCAAAAACUUAACACUUAGUAAAUUUUUUUCCUCUUUUUCCUGAAAGCAAACUGAUGACAUUUAGUAAAAUUUUUGUCCAUUCCCUCCAAAUCUCACUCACCUCCAAAGCACCUUCAUCCACUUUCGUAAACCCUCGUCGCCCCCCAUUCCUUCUAAAGUCACCAUCGCAAAGUAGAAACCUUGCCUGCCUCCAAAGCUCACAUUCGCCACGCACCCUUUCACACACACACACACACACACCCAGAUUCAGAAUGAGUGAACCAGAGGGAGGAGAGGAGGAAGACAGAGAUAAGAGCGCGAGCGAGAGACCAGAGAGUGAGAGUGGGUCACUGCCGCUGCAGCCGCUGCCAUCGCCGUCGUGGAGGAGGGAGUCCGGAGGAGAGAGAGAGAAAGAUGAUUCGCAGACGAGAUGGAGAGAGAGGACGAAGACGCGACGCGAGAGAGAAGGAGGUUGUUCUGCCGUGCACUGUCGUCGCUCCUGGGGUCAAUUGAAGCCGCCGCCGUUGCUAGGGCUUGCCGUGCUCCUGUCCUCACUUUCGGCUUCUACGAUUACUUCCUGUGUUUCAUCGAUGCCGUUUUCGACGCCAAGGGAAAAUGAGAUAUAAAUUCAAAAUAUGUAUGAUGAAGUUCUAUGAAGGGUUAAUGCAGAUAAUUAACUGAAGUGCUGAAGCCAAUUUAUAUCCUGGUGCAAUAACUUCGACACUUCAAAUUACAGAGACAGUUGGAUACUUACUUUCUCCUUGCUCACAUGUGCUCUGUCAAGCUUAAAGAAUGGACGCUUGUCCUGUUUACUUCUAUUAAGAAGUUCUAAGGUAUGCUUGGAUUCAUUGACAUGAUUGCAACAGCAACGAUGUUAAAAUAAAUGGUAAAAAUGUAAUAGAUGAUGAAAAAUAGAAUCCUUAAUCAUUUUGUUAUAUAUAUAAUAUGAGGUGACAAAAGCAAUAACACUGACAUGAUAUAAUUAUGUUAACUAUGUCGAACUGGUACAAGGCUAGCCAAAUGGCAUUGCUAUUAGACUCCUAACAUGAGAAUAUUUCCA
Non-coding RNA from Arachis ipaensis, 1156 nucleotides. The record is from RefSeq and is a predicted model, not a curated record. Lineage: Eukaryota; Viridiplantae; Streptophyta; Magnoliopsida; Fabales; Fabaceae.